This 809-nucleotide ribosomal RNA is filed under the name uncultured bacterium. RNAcentral describes it as "bacterial SSU rRNA". It matches the Rfam family "Bacterial small subunit ribosomal RNA", at positions 8 to 796 of the family's 1533-position model. The record is from RNAcentral.
AGAGUUUGAUCCUGGCUCAGAACGAACGCUGGCGGCGUGCCUAACACAUGCAAGUCGAACGUGAUUGGAAGCUUGCUUCCAUGAAAGUGGCGCACGGGUGAGUAACGCGUAGAUAAUCUACCUGAUGAUCCGGGAUAACACUUCGAAAGGGGUGCUAAUACCUGAUAAGCCCACGGGGUCUUCGGACUCUGCGGGAAAAGGGGGGGACCUUCGGGCCUUCCGUCAUCAGAUGAGUCUGCGUACCAUUAGCUAGUUGGUAGGGUAAAGGCCUACCAAGGCGACGAUGGUUAGCUGGUCUGAGAGGAUGAUCAGCCACACUGGAACUGAGACACGGUCCAGACUCCUACGGGAGGCAGCAGUGGGGAAUUUUGCGCAAUGGGGGAAACCCUGACGCAGCAACGCCGCGUGAGUGAUGAAGGCCCUUGGGUCGUAAAGCUCUGACAGAGGGAAAGAAGUGUAGAGUGGCUAAUAUCCACAUUACUUGACGGUACCCUCAAAGGAAGCACCGGCUAACUCCGUGCCAGCAGCCGCGGUAAUACAGAGGGUGCAAGCGUUAUCCGGAAUCAUUGGGCGUAAAGGGUUCGUAGGUGGAGUGUUAAGUUGGGUGUUAAAUUUUGCAGCUCAACUGCAAAAAUGUGCCCAAAACUGGCAAUCUAGAGUGCUACAGAGGUACGUGGAGUUCUGUAUGUAGGGGUUAAAUCCGUAGAUAUACAGAGGAACACCAAAAGCGAAGGCAGCGUACUGGGUAGCAACUGACACUCAAGAACGAAAGCGUGGGGAGCGAACGGGAUUAGAUACCCUGGUAGUCC